AAGGGCACCACCAGGAGUGGAGCAUGCGGCUUAAUUUGCCUCCACACGGGAAAACUCACCCGGCCUGGACCCUGUGAGGAUUGACAGAUUGAUAGCUCUUUCUUGAUUUGGCGGUUGGUGGUGCAUGGCCGU
Molecule: non-coding RNA, 132 nt
Filed under: Schistocephalus solidus
Lineage: Eukaryota; Metazoa; Platyhelminthes; Cestoda; Diphyllobothriidea; Diphyllobothriidae
Description: Eukaryotic small subunit ribosomal RNA
Rfam family: Eukaryotic small subunit ribosomal RNA
Source: Rfam by way of RNAcentral